GACAGAGGUGGCGAGCGUUGCUAGGAUUUACUGGGCUUAAAGGGCGCGUAGGUGGCCUUGUAAGUCAAAGGUGGAAUUCCACAGCUCAACUGUGGAACUGCCUUUGAUACUGCAAGGCUUGAGUCAGGUAGAGGAGGGCGGAAUUCCCGGUGUAGCGGUGAAAUGCGUAGAUAUCGGGAGGAAGGCCGGUGGCGAAGGCGGCCCUCUGGGCCUGUACUGACACUGAGGCGCGAAAGCGUGGGGAGCAAACAGG
RNAcentral lists this ribosomal RNA (253 nucleotides) under uncultured microorganism. RNAcentral's name for it is "partial 16S ribosomal RNA". It matches the Rfam family "Bacterial small subunit ribosomal RNA", at positions 524 to 776 of the family's 1533-position model. The record is from RNAcentral.